Molecule: ribosomal RNA, 1542 nt
Filed under: Salmonella enterica
Lineage: Bacteria; Pseudomonadati; Pseudomonadota; Gammaproteobacteria; Enterobacterales; Enterobacteriaceae
Also listed under: 26 other names
Description: bacterial SSU rRNA
Rfam family: Bacterial small subunit ribosomal RNA
Source: RNAcentral
AAAUUGAAGAGUUUGAUCAUGGCUCAGAUUGAACGCUGGCGGCAGGCCUAACACAUGCAAGUCGAACGGUAACAGGAAGCAGCUUGCUGCUUUGCUGACGAGUGGCGGACGGGUGAGUAAUGUCUGGGAAACUGCCUGAUGGAGGGGGAUAACUACUGGAAACGGUGGCUAAUACCGCAUAACGUCGCAAGACCAAAGAGGGGGACCUUCGGGCCUCUUGCCAUCAGAUGUGCCCAGAUGGGAUUAGCUAGUUGGUGAGGUAACGGCUCACCAAGGCGACGAUCCCUAGCUGGUCUGAGAGGAUGACCAGCCACACUGGAACUGAGACACGGUCCAGACUCCUACGGGAGGCAGCAGUGGGGAAUAUUGCACAAUGGGCGCAAGCCUGAUGCAGCCAUGCCGCGUGUAUGAAGAAGGCCUUCGGGUUGUAAAGUACUUUCAGCGGGGAGGAAGGUGUUGUGGUUAAUAACCGCAGCAAUUGACGUUACCCGCAGAAGAAGCACCGGCUAACUCCGUGCCAGCAGCCGCGGUAAUACGGAGGGUGCAAGCGUUAAUCGGAAUUACUGGGCGUAAAGCGCACGCAGGCGGUCUGUCAAGUCGGAUGUGAAAUCCCCGGGCUCAACCUGGGAACUGCAUUCGAAACUGGCAGGCUUGAGUCUUGUAGAGGGGGGUAGAAUUCCAGGUGUAGCGGUGAAAUGCGUAGAGAUCUGGAGGAAUACCGGUGGCGAAGGCGGCCCCCUGGACAAAGACUGACGCUCAGGUGCGAAAGCGUGGGGAGCAAACAGGAUUAGAUACCCUGGUAGUCCACGCCGUAAACGAUGUCUACUUGGAGGUUGUGCCCUUGAGGCGUGGCUUCCGGAGCUAACGCGUUAAGUAGACCGCCUGGGGAGUACGGCCGCAAGGUUAAAACUCAAAUGAAUUGACGGGGGCCCGCACAAGCGGUGGAGCAUGUGGUUUAAUUCGAUGCAACGCGAAGAACCUUACCUGGUCUUGACAUCCACGGAAGUUUUCAGAGAUGAGAAUGUGCCUUCGGGAACCGUGAGACAGGUGCUGCAUGGCUGUCGUCAGCUCGUGUUGUGAAAUGUUGGGUUAAGUCCCGCAACGAGCGCAACCCUUAUCCUUUGUUGCCAGCGGUUAGGCCGGGAACUCAAAGGAGACUGCCAGUGAUAAACUGGAGGAAGGUGGGGAUGACGUCAAGUCAUCAUGGCCCUUACGACCAGGGCUACACACGUGCUACAAUGGCGCAUACAAAGAGAAGCGACCUCGCGAGAGCAAGCGGACCUCAUAAAGUGCGUCGUAGUCCGGAUUGGAGUCUGCAACUCGACUCCAUGAAGUCGGAAUCGCUAGUAAUCGUGGAUCAGAAUGCCACGGUGAAUACGUUCCCGGGCCUUGUACACACCGCCCGUCACACCAUGGGAGUGGGUUGCAAAAGAAGUAGGUAGCUUAACCUUCGGGAGGGCGCUUACCACUUUGUGAUUCAUGACUGGGGUGAAGUCGUAACAAGGUAACCGUAGGGGAACCUGCGGUUGGAUCACCUCCUUA